Molecule: ribosomal RNA, 452 nt
Filed under: uncultured bacterium
Lineage: Bacteria
Description: SSU rRNA
Rfam family: Bacterial small subunit ribosomal RNA
Source: RNAcentral
AGGAUGAACGCUGGCGGUCUGCUUAACACAUGCAAGUCGAACGGAGUACCUCGGUACUUAGUGGCGGACGGGUGAGUAACGCGUGAGAAUCUGCCCUUAGGUCGGGGACAACCAUUGGAAACGAUGGCUAAAUACCGGAUAAGCCGAGAGGUAAAAGAUUAAUUGCCUAGGGAAGAGCUCGCGUCUGAUUAGCUAGUUGGUGAGGUAAAGGCUCACCAAGGCAUCGAUCAGUAGCUGGUCUGAGAGGAUGAUCAGCCACACUGGGACUGAGACACGGCCCAGACUCCUACGGGAGGCAGCAGUGGGGAAUUUUCCGCAAUGGGCGAAAGCCUGACGGAGCAAGACCGCGUGAGGGAGGAAGGCUCUUGGGUUGUAAACCUCUUUUCUUGGGGAAGAACGAAAAUGACGGUACCCAAGGAAUCAGCAUCGGCUAACUCCGCGCCAGCGGCCGC